UACGGAGGGUGCAAGCGUUAAUCGGAAUUACUGGGCGUAAAGCGCACGCAGGCGGUUUGUUAAGUCAGAUGUGAAAUCCCCGGGCUCAACCUGGGAACUGCAUCUGAUACUAGCAAGCUUGAGUCUCGUAGAGGGGGGUAGAAUUCCAGGUGUAGCGGUGAAAUGCGUAGAGAUCUGGAGGAAUACCGGUGGCGAAGGCGGCCCCCUGGACGAAGACUGACGCUCAGGUGCGAAAGCGUGGGGAGCAAACAGG
RNAcentral lists this ribosomal RNA (253 nucleotides) under uncultured bacterium. Its description in RNAcentral is "partial 16S ribosomal RNA". It matches the Rfam family "Bacterial small subunit ribosomal RNA", at positions 524 to 776 of the family's 1533-position model. The record is from RNAcentral.